UGAAUGCUCCUGAUCCAAUUAUCAACACUUGCAGUGACUUUUACAAAUUCUGGCAGGCAACCCAUGAUUUGCACGAUGCCAUAAAUCUUAAGCAGCAUUGGUAGCAACUGAUCCUAAGGAAGUUAAGCUUGGUGAUAACUUAGAGGAAGUCGCAUGUGAACCAAGGACACAACACAUUGAUGCUCUGCUUGAUAUCAUUUGUGAAGUAUUGUCAUAGGAGGAGCUGAAAUAUCAUUUUUUUAUCAGUUGUCUAUUAGUUUAGCAUAUUGUUGUCAGAAUUUA
Long non-coding RNA from Papaver somniferum (opium poppy), 282 nucleotides. RefSeq lists it as uncharacterized. The transcript has 3 exons. Lineage: Eukaryota; Viridiplantae; Streptophyta; Magnoliopsida; Ranunculales; Papaveraceae. The record is from RefSeq and is a predicted model, not a curated record.